CCUGACUGCUAUCGGAUUGAUACUAAGCCAUGCGAGUCAUUGUAGCAAUACAAGGCAGACGGCUCAGUAACGCGUAGUCAAUCUACCCUAUGGACGGGAAUAACCUCGGGAAACUGAGAAUAAUGCCCGAUAGAACAUUAUGCCUGGAAUGGUUUAUGUUUCAAAUGAUUUAUCGCCAUAGGAUGGGACUGCGGCCUAUCAGUUUGUUGGUGAGGUAAUGGCCCACCAAGACUAUUACAGGUACGGGCUCUGAGAGGAGUAGCCCGGAGAUGGGUACUGAGACACGGACCCAGGCCCUAUGGGGCGCAGCAGGCGAGAAAACUUUGCAAUGUGCGGAAGCACGGCAAGGUUAAUCCGAGUGGUUUCUGCUAAAGAAACCUUUUGUCAGUCCUAGAAACACUAACGAAUAAGGGGUGGGCAAGUUCUGGUGUCAGCCGCCGCGGUAAAACCAGCACCUCAAGUGGUCAGGAUGAUUAUUGGGCCUAAAGCAUCCGUAGCUCGUUUUGUAAGUUUUCGGUUAAAUCCAUGCGCUUAACGUAUGGGCUGCCGGGAAUACUGCAUAACUAGGAAGUGGGAGAGGUAGACGGUACUCGGGAGGAAGGGGUAAAAUCCUUUGAUCUCUUGAUGACCACCUGUGGCGAAGGCGGUCUACCAGAACACGUUCGACGGUGAGGGAUGAAAGCUGGGGGAGCAAACCGGAUUAGAUACCCGGGUAGUCCCAGCUGUAAACUAUGCAAACUCAGUGAUGCAUUGGCUUAUGGCCAAUGCAGUGCUGCAGGGAAGCCGUUAAGUUUGCCGCCUGGGAAGUACGUACGCAAGUAUGAAACUUAAAGGAUUGGCGGGGGAGCACCACAAGGGGUGAAGCCUGCGGUUCAAUUGGAGUCAACG
This 888-nucleotide ribosomal RNA is filed under the name uncultured archaeon. Its description in RNAcentral is "bacterial SSU rRNA". It matches the Rfam family "Archaeal small subunit ribosomal RNA", at positions 21 to 917 of the family's 1478-position model. The record is from RNAcentral.